This 468-nucleotide ribosomal RNA is filed under the name uncultured bacterium. RNAcentral's name for it is "partial 16S ribosomal RNA". It matches the Rfam family "Bacterial small subunit ribosomal RNA", at positions 28 to 507 of the family's 1533-position model. The record is from RNAcentral.
GACGAACGCUGGCGGCGUGCUUAACACAUGCAAGUCGAACGGAAAGGCCCUGCUUUUGUGGGGUGCUCGAGUGGCGAACGGGUGAGUAACACGUGAGUAACCUGCCCUUGACUUUGGGAUAACUUCAGGAAACUGGGGCUAAUACCGGAUAGGAGCUCCUGCUGCAUGGUGGGGGUUGGAAAGUUUCGGCGGUUGGGGAUGGACUCGCGGCUUAUCAGCUUGUUGGUGGGGUAGUGGCUUACCAAGGCUUUGACGGGUAGCCGGCCUGAGAGGGUGACCGGCCACAUUGGGACUGAGAUACGGCCCAGACUCCUACGGGAGGCAGCAGUGGAGAAUAUUGCACAAUGGGCGGAAGCCUGAUGCAGCAACGCCGCGUGCGGGAUAACGGCCUUCGGGUUGUAAACCGCUUUCGCCUGUGACGAAGCGUGAGUGACGGUAAUGGGUAAAGAAGCGCCGGCUAACUACGUG